UGGGGAAUAUUGCACAAUGGGCGCAAGCCUGAUGCAGCCAUGCCGCGUGUAUGAAGAAGGCCUUAGGGUUGUAAAGUACUUUCAGCGGGGAGGAAGGUGAUAAGGUUAAUACCCUUGUCAAUUGACGUUACCCGCAGAAGAAGCACCGGCUAACUCCGUGCCAGCAGCCGCGGUAAUACGGAGGGUGCAAGCGUUAAUCGGAAUUACUGGGCGUAAAGCGCACGCAGGCGGUUAAUUAAGUCAGAUGUGAAAGCCCCGAGCUUAACUUGGGAAUUGCAUCUGAAACUGGUUGGCUAGAGUCUUGUAGAGGGGGGUAGAAUUCCAUGUGUAGCGGUGAAAUGCGUAGAGAUGUGGAGGAAUACCGGUGGCGAAGGCGGCCCCCUGGACAAAGACUGACGCUCAGGUGCGAAAGCGUGGGGAGCAAACA
RNAcentral lists this ribosomal RNA (427 nucleotides) under uncultured bacterium. RNAcentral describes it as "partial 16S ribosomal RNA". It matches the Rfam family "Bacterial small subunit ribosomal RNA", at positions 355 to 774 of the family's 1533-position model. The record is from RNAcentral.